This 1242-nucleotide ribosomal RNA is filed under the name Amoebozoa sp. Tmp4. RNAcentral describes it as "bacterial SSU rRNA". It matches the Rfam family "Eukaryotic small subunit ribosomal RNA", at positions 587 to 1831 of the family's 1831-position model. The record is from RNAcentral.
CAGGCUCUUCUAGCGUAUAUCGAAGUUGAUGCAGUUAAAAAGCUCGUAGUCGGAGUUGUUCGGAUAGAGGAUAAAAUGACUUUGUGAAGGAAACUUCACAAGGUGACUCUUCCGAUUCAUUGGAUUAUGAAAGUGYGUUGGUUCGCCAGYRAUUACUUCUCUUCCACAUUUACUUUGAGGAAAUUAGAGUGUUUAUAGCAGUCGUCUUGACUGAAUAGUUUAGCAUGGGAUAAUAGAAUAUGGCAAUAUGUCUUUUCUAUGGUUCUUAAAGGCAAUUCAAAUUUUGCAAUGAUUAAUGGGAUGUGGAUGGGGCUGCCAGUAUUGCUGAGCUAGAGGUGAAAUUCUAUGAUUUCAGCAGGACUAACAAAUGCGAAAGCAUCCAGCCAGUACAUGUCCGUCGAUCAAGAACGAAGGGAGUGGUAUCGAAGAUGAUCAGAUACCGUCGUAGUCACUCCAGUAAACGAUGAUAACUCAGGGUAAGGGAGAUGUAAAUUUAAAACUUGCACUUCUUUGAACUGUAUGAGAAAUCAAAGUAUCUAUAUUUCCGGGGGGAGUAUGGCCGCAAGACUGAAACUUAAAGGAAUUGACGGAAGGGCACCACAAGGCGUGGAACCUGCGGCUUAAUUUGACUCAACACGGGAAAACUUACCAGGUCCAGACAUAGUAAGGAUUGACAGGUUGAAAGAUCUUUCUUGAUUCUGUGGGUGGUGGUGCAUGGCCGUUCUUAGUUGGUGGAAUGAUUUGUCUGUUUAAUUACGAUAACGAACGAGAUGAUCAUGGAAAAAUAGGAUGAUUAAUCGAAAGAUUGRUACACUUCCUUCUCUUCCAGAUUAAUGGAUUAAAGCCAUUUGAAAUGAUCGCAAUAACAGGUCUGUGAUGCCCUUAGAUGUUCUGGGCUGCACGCGCGUUACAAUGGUGAUGUCAAUGAGUUUUGAGUGGAUUUACUUYAUUCUUGUGCUUUCUCGAAAGGGAUGGCUAAUCUUAUAUAAACAUCACCGUGCUGGGGAUAGAUGGUUGUAAUUAUCCGUCUUGAACCAGGAAUGCCUAGUAAUCGCAUGUCAUCAGCAUGCGAUGAUUACGUCCCUGCCCUUUGUACACACCGCCCGUCGCUCCUACCGAUUGGAUUGUCCGGUGAGAAUGGAGGAUUUUGGUAUUUUAUGAGCAAUCAUGGAGUAUUGGGAGAAUCCAUUCAAAUCUUAUAAUCUAGAGGAAGGAGAAGUCGUAACAAGGUCUCCGUAGGUG